AACUCACCUGCCGAAUGAACUAGCGCUGAAAAUGGAUGGCGCUCAAGCGGACCACCGAUACUCGACCAACGCGCUGAGUGCUUUGGCGCGUUGCGUAGGAGGGCGUGGGGCUCGUGACGCAGCCGCGGGAGUGAUCCCCGGUGAAACGGGCUCUAGUGCAGAUCUUGGUGGUAGUCGCAAAUAUUCAAAUGCGAACUUUGA
Molecule: ribosomal RNA, 201 nt
Filed under: uncultured eukaryote
Lineage: Eukaryota
Description: partial Eukaryotic large subunit ribosomal RNA
Rfam family: Eukaryotic large subunit ribosomal RNA
Source: RNAcentral